Molecule: long non-coding RNA, 1999 nt
Filed under: Lotus japonicus
Lineage: Eukaryota; Viridiplantae; Streptophyta; Magnoliopsida; Fabales; Fabaceae
Description: long non-coding RNA (LJAP_LNC000340)
Source: RNAcentral
GCGGCGGAAUUACUAGGCUCAGAUCUAUCUACACAUCCCAAAUAUCUGUUUUCUAGAUGUGGUUCCAUCUCUGGUGAGGAAAGCAAGGUCGAUGGCUCAAUUGGAGAGGUACCGGAAAUCUUUCCUCGGCGGAAACCAUCCCCGACAGAAAUCUCACCGGUGGCCACACACACACGCGCCAAUGGCUCUUCCACCCGGGAAGCUCACCAUUCUCCUCGGUGCAGGUCUUCAACGCUCACUCUUCUAAUUAUUUUAUAAAUUAGUUUUAAUUAAUGGUGAUAUGACUUCAGUGAGAAUGUUUGUGUGACUUCACUCUUCUAAUUAUUUUAUAUUGCAUUUUACUGUUUGUAUUAUAGAUAGUGAGAAAGAUUAGAAAUUGGUGAUGACUUUGAGUGUAGUUGUUGUAACAGGAAGCUACAUGUUCUUUUUGGUAAUGUGGAACAUCACAUUCCAAUUGGUGACUGGUAGGGAUGGCAACGGGUAGGAUCGGGCACGGGUUUUACAAUUACCAAACCCAAACCCAAAUUUCAGAACCCAAACCCAAAUCCAAACACAAACCUUAUGGGCGAUAAAAUGAAAUUCAUGCCCAAAUCCAUUGGGUUUCGGAUUUACCCGAAACCCAAACCCAAACUCAUUAGUUACGUAGCAACUCAAUCCAGAACUUAAUUACUUUCAUAUAAAAAAAAGUGAAAUUCAUAGAAAGAAAAAAAAAACAAAUACUAUUCAUCAUCCUCAUCCAUCACUAAAGUGAGACAACAAUAGUUUAGAGUUUACUUUCUCAAACAUACAAAAGUACAAUUAAUCAUCAAAUACUAAGAACAAAGUUUAUAAAUAUAUAUAUGUACGAGGGUUUUUUUGUAAUUUUAUGUUUCGGGUAUCUUUGGGUUUGGGUUUGGGCGGGUAUGGGCACGGAUUUAACUAAUACCAAUCCCAAACCCAUACAUGGCUACAGUAACGGGCAAAACCCAAACCCAAAUCCAGUCAACUCGGAUUUUGCCCGUCAAAUCGGAUCGGGUUCGGGCGGGUACCCAUGGGUUUGGGCAAAAUUGCCAUCCCUAGUGACUGGAUUGAACCCAUUUGAUUUGAAAACUUUUAGUGCAGAUCAAACAAGGAACUGCUUCGGAGUGAACUUCGUGGACGACAAACUAAAUGGAAAGGAAAAACUCAAUAAUGGUGAGAAAAAAGUUUUAGUGUAAGUGUUCAAAGUGUGUUUUUCAAUUCUGUACCAUGUUUUCUGCUACACACAUUAAUGCUCCAUGUUGGUAGCAUAUCUCAUCUGUUAUAUAAACUCAGGUUAGUGAGAUUGUUUAAUUUUAACUAAUUUCUUUGUUUAUGUUCUGCAGAGUGUGAGAUUGAUUGAUUACUUUAAAGUGGUCCAUUUUUUAGACUGGGCAUUCAAGGGUGAGUUUGAGUGAUUUUUUGUUACCGGGGUAUAUGGAGUGGACUCUAUCAUAGAGCAAUAGAGAGCAACUGCGAGAGAGAUCUCGGGGGUGAAAGGGUUUCAAUUUGUACUCACAGCAUUUUUCCUUUUAUAGAACUUAUUUUUGGUCUUGAAUUUUUUAUUCAUGGCCUUAAAUUUACAGGUGAUACUAAAGAGGGCAUGACUAAGGGGAGACAUAUGCAAUAGCAAGUGUAGUUAAGCAUAUAAAAGGAGACAUACAAUUUCAGGUGUGGGAUCGUUGUGAUUCAUUCAAGUGGAAAUGUACCUUCCUUUAUUAUGAAAGAUUAAUCUGAAUUCACUUCAGAUAUUAAGCUUCCUUUUGUUUUCCAUGCUCAGGUAAGAAUAUAUCAAGAACUUUAGACGCUAUAGUUGCAAAAGAAGGUUAGUGGACUAAUUAUUAAAAUAUCAUCUGUUUUCUUUUUGUCCUGUUUCACUCUAUUUAUAAUUAUUUGGGUGUUUUGUGUACUGUAGGGGCUCAUCAUACAGUUCUAUGGAACUCAACUAAGGAAGAUCCAAAGUGGCUCAAAGAUGAUAUUUUCAAGCCCCACUUAAAGGUUG